This 430-nucleotide ribosomal RNA is filed under the name Bacillota bacterium. Its description in RNAcentral is "Firmicutes bacterium partial 16S ribosomal RNA". It matches the Rfam family "Bacterial small subunit ribosomal RNA", at positions 355 to 776 of the family's 1533-position model. Lineage: Bacteria; Bacillati; Bacillota. The record is from RNAcentral.
UGGGGAAUAUUGGACAAUGGGCGCAAGCCUGAUCCAGCCAUGCCGCGUGUGUGAAGAAGGCCUUUUGGUUGUAAAGCACUUUAAGCGAGGAGGAGGCUACUUGGAUUAAUACUCUAAGAUAGUGGACGUUACUCGCAGAAUAAGCACCGGCUAACUCUGUGCCAGCAGCCGCGGUAAUACAGAGGGUGCGAGCGUUAAUCGGAUUUACUGGGCGUAAAGCGUGCGUAGGCGGCUUCUUAAGUCGGAUGUGAAAUCCCUGAGCUUAACUUAGGAAUUGCAUUCGAUACUGGGAAGCUAGAGUAUGGGAGAGGAUGGUAGAAUUCCAGGUGUAGCGGUGAAAUGCGUAGAGAUCUGGAGGAAUACCGAUGGCUAAGGCAGCCAUCUGGCCUAAUACUGACGCUGAGGUACGAAAGCAUGGGGAGCAAACAGG